This 333-nucleotide long non-coding RNA is filed under the name Manihot esculenta (cassava). Its description in RNAcentral is "long non-coding RNA (MESC_LNC003457)". Lineage: Eukaryota; Viridiplantae; Streptophyta; Magnoliopsida; Malpighiales; Euphorbiaceae. The record is from RNAcentral.
ACGGGGCAGAGCUAUGCUAGACUCUAAGCUAACGGUGUCAGGAUUUUAAAAGAUAGUCAUGGAAAAGGAAAGAAAGGACAUGUCCAGAUAAUGAUGACAGGAAAGCAAAGACAGCAAAGAACACGAAGAAUGGAGAAAAGCCAGAAAGGGGAAAGAGCAUAUAGGAUUCGGAAACUGCACAACGACAGAAAGAUGAAAGGAUGUUAUUAAGGCACCUGAACACAAACAGGCGCGGUCAUAAUGGUUCUUGAUAUUCACCCCCUCAGCAGUGGGAGCAAUAACUACCGAGAAGGUGAAGGGGCAAUUGAUGACCGCUGGAUUUCUUCACCCCAG